GCGGCUGUAGAAGAACUGGCAUAUUCAGCAGACUUAAAAUCUGCCCCGUAAGGAUUGUGGGUUCGAGUCCCAUCAGCCGUA
RNAcentral lists this transfer RNA (81 nucleotides) under Caudoviricetes sp. RNAcentral describes it as "tRNA-Leu". It matches the Rfam family "tRNA". Rfam says of the family: Transfer RNA (tRNA) molecules are approximately 80 nucleotides in length. Their secondary structure includes four short double-helical elements and three loops (D, anti-codon, and T loops). Further hydrogen bonds mediate the characteristic L-shaped molecular structure. tRNAs have two regions of fundamental functional importance: the anti-codon, which is responsible for specific mRNA codon recognition, and the 3' end, to which the tRNAs corresponding amino acid is attached (by aminoacyl-tRNA synthetases). tRNAs cope with the degeneracy of the genetic code in two manners: having more than one tRNA (with a specific anti-codon) for a particular amino acid; and 'wobble' base-pairing, i.e. permitting non-standard base-pairing at the 3rd anti-codon position. The record is from RNAcentral. Lineage: Duplodnaviria; Heunggongvirae; Uroviricota; Caudoviricetes.